GACAGAGGAGGCAUGCGUUAUCCGGAAUUAUUGGACGUAAAGCGUCCGUAGGUGGUUUGGCAAGUCUGGGGUUAAAGCCCGGAGCCUAACUCCGGAUCGGCCCUGGAAACUGCCAGACUAGAGUAAGGUAGGGGUUGCGGGAAUUCCCGGUUUAGCGGUGAAAUGCGUAGAUAUCGGGAAGAACACCAGUGGCGAAAGCGCGCAACUGGGCCAUUACUGACACUGAGGGACGAAAGCUAGGGGAGCGAAUGGG
This 253-nucleotide ribosomal RNA is filed under the name uncultured bacterium. RNAcentral's name for it is "partial 16S ribosomal RNA". It matches the Rfam family "Bacterial small subunit ribosomal RNA", at positions 524 to 776 of the family's 1533-position model. The record is from RNAcentral.